GACGAACGCUGGCGGCGUGCUUAACACAUGCAAGUCGAACGGAAAGGCCCUGCUUUUGUGGGGUGCUCGAGUGGCGUACGGGUGAGUAACACGUGAGUAACCUGCCCUCGACUUUGGGAUAACUUCAGGAAACUGGGGCUAAUACCGGAUAGGAGCUCCUGCUGCAUGGUGGGGGUUGGAAAGUUUCGGCGGUUGGGGAUGGACUCGCGGCUUAUCAGCUUGUUGGUGGGGUAGUGGCUUACCAAGGCUUUGACGGGUAGCCGGCCUGAGAGGGUGACCGGCCACAUUGGGACUGAGAUACGGCCCAGACUCCUACGGGAGGCAGCAGUGGGGAAUAUUGCACAAUGGGCGGGAGCCUGAUGCAGCAACGCCGCGUGCGGGAUGACGGCCUUCGGGUUGUAAACCGCUUUCGCCUGUGGCGAAGCGUGAGUGACGGUAAUGGGUAAAGAAGCACCGGCUAACUACGUG
Molecule: ribosomal RNA, 468 nt
Filed under: uncultured bacterium
Lineage: Bacteria
Description: partial 16S ribosomal RNA
Rfam family: Bacterial small subunit ribosomal RNA
Source: RNAcentral